UAUUAAUAGCUAGUUGAAGCAUAUGGAAGGAGCGCAAUACAAAAAAAGUUACUGACAUUCAUUUAAGUGAAGGUAUGAUUAUAAAGCAGAUCAUCCGUACUACAGAAUGAGAGAUUCAAAGAACAUCGUUACAAAAAAUCACAUAAAUGAGGCAAUGACUUAUCAACACUGAAAUGUUUUUACUAUGCUAAACAUGGAGGAACCUGAAAGGAGCGGAG
This 218-nucleotide long non-coding RNA is filed under the name Zostera marina. Its description in RNAcentral is "long non-coding RNA (ZMAR_LNC000471)". Lineage: Eukaryota; Viridiplantae; Streptophyta; Magnoliopsida; Alismatales; Zosteraceae. The record is from RNAcentral.